ACGUAUUCGUUGGAGCAUUUUUACAAACAAAAUGUAUAAAUGCACUAUCGGAUAUGACA
Molecule: microRNA precursor, 59 nt
Filed under: Schmidtea mediterranea
Lineage: Eukaryota; Metazoa; Platyhelminthes; Tricladida; Dugesiidae
Description: Sme-Mir-277-P8a_pre stem-loop
Source: RNAcentral